GUGUCUUCUAUGUGCAUUCUGGUAAACUACUACAGAAUUUUGGAUGGGCACUUUUGUUGUUACCAAAAGCAUAAGGUGGCCCUUACACCUCACAAAAGGUGAUUGUGCCCUAAACUCACACUUUCAUCCCUGAAUGCCAGAAACAUAGCUUCGUAGAAGUCCAUGCAAUCUUUGCUCCUGUAAAUAGUUUCGUUGCGCAUAUGCUUGAAUAUUGCUUAGCAU
RNAcentral lists this unclassified non-coding RNA (222 nucleotides) under Hevea brasiliensis (rubber tree). The record is from RNAcentral. Lineage: Eukaryota; Viridiplantae; Streptophyta; Magnoliopsida; Malpighiales; Euphorbiaceae.